GCCGUUAUGGUGAAAUUGGUAGACACACUACUCUUAGGAAGUGGUACUAAUGCAUCUCGGUUCGAGUCCGAGUGACGGUA
Non-coding RNA from Solanum tuberosum (potato), 80 nucleotides. Lineage: Eukaryota; Viridiplantae; Streptophyta; Magnoliopsida; Solanales; Solanaceae. The record is from Rfam.